This 253-nucleotide ribosomal RNA is filed under the name uncultured bacterium. RNAcentral's name for it is "partial 16S ribosomal RNA". It matches the Rfam family "Archaeal small subunit ribosomal RNA", at positions 474 to 727 of the family's 1478-position model. The record is from RNAcentral.
UACCAGCACCCCGAGUGGUUGGGACGUUUAUUGGGCCUAAAGCAUCCGUAGCCGGUUCUGCAAGUCCCCCGUUAAAUCCAGCUGCUCAACAGAUGGGCCGCGGAGGAUACUACAGAGCUAGGAGGCAGGAGAGGCAAGCGGUACUCAGUGGGUAGGGGUAAAAUCCGUUGAUCCAUUGAAGACCACCAGUGGCGAAGGCGGCUUGCCAGAAUGCGCUCGACGGUGAGGGAUGAAAGCUGGGGGAGCAAACCGG